GGGCACAUGGUGUAGUUGGUUAUCACAUCCGCUUAGCAUUCAACUCUUCUGCGGGUGUUUCUGCGGGGGGUGCUGGGUUCAAUUCCCAGUGUGUCCA
Molecule: non-coding RNA, 97 nt
Organism: Marasmius tenuissimus
Lineage: Eukaryota; Fungi; Basidiomycota; Agaricomycetes; Agaricales; Marasmiaceae
Source: the annotation of a GenBank genome assembly